RNAcentral lists this ribosomal RNA (420 nucleotides) under uncultured eukaryote. RNAcentral describes it as "bacterial SSU rRNA". It matches the Rfam family "Eukaryotic small subunit ribosomal RNA", at positions 592 to 1017 of the family's 1831-position model. The record is from RNAcentral.
CAAUAGCGUAUAUUAAAGUUGUUGCGGUUAAAAAGCUCGUAGUUGGAUUUCUGCUGAGGACGACCGGUCCGCCCUCCGGGUGAGCAUCUGGUUCGGCCUUGGCAUCUUCUUGGUGAACGUAUCUGCACUUGACUGUGUGGUGCGGUACCCAGGACUUUUACUUUGAGGAAAUUAGAGUGUUCAAAGCGGGCUUACGCUUGAAUAUUUCAGCAUGGAAUAACACUAUAGGACUCCUGUCCUAUUUCGUUGGUCUCGGGACGGGAGUAAUGAUUAAGAGGAACAGUUGGGGGGCAUUCGUAUUUCAUCGUCAGAGGUGAAAUUCUUGGAUUUAUGAAAGACGAACUUCUGCGAAAGCAUUUGCCAAGGAUGUUUUCAUUAAUCAAGAACGAAAGUUGGGGGCUCGAAGAUGAUUAGAUACCA